CAUGAUCUAUGUGCUAUCAAAAUGAAGAACAUUUUUGUAACAGAAAUUUAUAUUUCAUUUUUUAGAGAAACCAUCCUUGUUAAAGAUGUGACAUUAAUCCCUCCAAACCUACAAAACACAAUUGAUAAGGUAAGUUGCAGAUUAUCUGAGAUAUUUUUGAUUAUCAUCCCAAGAAAUGUAGCAUACAUGUAUUACUCUUCUUUCAUUUAUAUGAUAAUGAAGAUACAUGUAUCUUGUAAUUUGUACAGUUGUAUAUGUAUUUCUGCCAUCUGUCACUGUUAAUUUAAAUGUACAUUAGGGGUCAGUAAAUAAUCAAAACAUGAUACAUGUAUAAAGACUAAUGGUGUGUAUUUUCAUUAAAUAAUACACAGGUUUUUUUUUGUGUUCAGAUUGAUAGCAAUUUUGUUGUCAAUUGUUGUAGUGUCAUUGAUAAAUGAAUGAAAUAAAUGGUUGUACCUAAAAUUAUUUGAAACAUGUCUGAACUUAACUUAUAUAUAGAUACAAUUACAUUGUAUUAUAACCAAUUUUUAUUUACAUUUGUAUAUCUAUAUGUACAUGUACAUGAUCAAUGUAUCAAUGAUGACAAGGAACUUUUUAAUUUAAAUUUCAGAGAUGCUAAUUAACCUUGUUAAUGACUGUGGAGAACUUAUGCUACAUUUACCUAAUACACAGACAAACACAAAUGGGCAUACAUGUAGGUAAUAAAUAGAGCAGUUUUCUAAGAUACAUGUUCAUGUUUAUUGUUAUAUCAUGUAUAUUAUGCCUUGUCUUUAAAAAAUAUAGAUAUGAAACAUGAACACAUACAUUUUUUGUAUGUACAUGUUCCAUGUUUACAUGUAUUAGAGAGUUAUCUAACCUGUUUAAAAGCUGAUAACUACUUAGUACUAUCAAAAUUUUAGUCUAUUUGUUUCUCUAUUUGUCCAUGAUUUAUCUUAUAAUGGAUAGAGUUUGAAAAUUAAAUCUAUAAAGUUGGAUAAAAUAUUCAUAAUGCUUGCAUUGGUACAAAGCCAUUUUGAAAAUAAGAAGAUGUGGUAUGAUUGCCAAUAUGAAAACUCUCCCCAAUACAUGUACUUCACAUGACAUAUAAAGGAACCACUUUAAGUCACCAUACAACCUUACACAAUAAGACAAACCCAUACUACAUAAUCAGCUAUAAAUUUAAACAAUUCAAAGGAGAAGACUAAAUACAACUACUGAAUUAUUGGUUAUAUACAGCAUUAAAAUACAACUACUGAAUUACUGGUUCCUGACUUGGGACAGGCACAUACAGAAUGUGGCAGGGAUAAACUAGAUUGAACUUUAUUAAAAAAUUACCCAUUAUCAAACUAAAAAUGCCUAUUACUAAGUGAACUCAGAUUACUCUGCUGUUUACAUAUUUGUUAAACUAUAAUUUGCUUCUUGUAGAAAUUAGCCUGUGAGAUCAAGAUGCAGAUAUAUCCACCAGAUACCAAAUGCCACACCAAAGCAGACAUUUUCAAAUGUUGAGAGACCUAUGAAUACAUCUACAUCCUUCUUCGGACUUUGAAACAACUGAUUGAGUAUGUUAGCUAACAUUUAAUCAAUUAUGUUUGAACAGUGCUACACAACAGCCUGGGUGGAUUUUGCUUUUUCCACCGGCCCACUCCAACUUUAAUCUCUUUUUUGUUAAAAUAUUGAUAUCUAAUGCUUAUCUGCUUUUUUUCAAUUGAUUGUACUUGCAAGUCUUUUGAUUAAACAAAAGAAAUUGCAUGCCCACUCCUAUGGGUGGGCAGAGUUGACAAGCUAGAAAGUUUGCCCACUCCCACUGUGGACGGGUGGAGCCAACGCAAAAUCCACCUGAGCUGUAGUGUAUAUUUGAAAGUCAAUGACUUCUAUUAAAAAAAAGAAAAAAGAAAUCUAGAACUUUACAAUCUUUUUUUUAAUAUGCCCCUAUUUAUAUACAAAAGAAGAUGUCAUAUGAUUGCCAAAGAUACAACUCUCCACAAGAAACCAAGUGACACAGAAAUUAACAGCUACAGGUCAUUGUAAGGCCUUCAACAAUGAGCAAAGCCCAUACCGCAUAUUCAGCUAUAAAAGGCACUGAAAUGACAAAUGAAAUAUUAUGCAUGGUGGGGGUGAAAUAAAAAGUGUCUUCUGACCCCUGAUCCCCCUACAUUUAUUUCUGGAACAUCCCUCAGUGUUGCAACACAUAAACACAUUUGGUAGUCAGAUUGCUUUCAACCAUAUACUAUAGUGAUAGUUUUCUUCUUCAGAAUGCUAAAUUUAAAAGUUUUAAUUAAUUUGUGAUGAAUUUUCUUUUUUACUUCCAGUUAGGCAAGAUGUUAUCUCUCAUAUCAAAGAGAUGGAAUAUGAAACUGGCAGCCAGUAUUGAUAUAAUGUGGUACUAAAAGCUCCAAUACCAUCAGGGGCUGAAGACAUAACAGGAAUUGUGUGGGAUUUGACCAACCUUAGACUAAAGAGAAAAGUUGUUGCUGCAUUACAGAUAUUUUGAACUCAGCAAUUUUUAUUAAUGUUUUUAAUGUUAAUUCUCUCUCUUAUGAAUAAUAUGAUAUCUAUACUUGCAAUGAGCAUGAAUUGAAAGUUCCUCAUGUCUGUAAAACUGUUUUCCCUUGACAUUGACCACAUUUCAUGGAUCGGUGAAAAAAGUUAUGUACCCAUGGUCAAGUCCAUGUAUCAGAUUCAAAAAGCAAUAGGUCUGCUUAAUUUGGUAUACUGUAUGAUUGAUCCUGAUCUCAUUGUCAUGCUUUAUUGAUCAAUGUUAAUAUUCAAAAGAUUUAAUAUUGAUUGUACAUUGUAUAUAUAGAUAUGAUAAUAUUUAUUUGUAUCCUUUGAACCAUCAUGACCAUGUUAUA
This 2831-nucleotide long non-coding RNA is filed under the name Mytilus galloprovincialis (Mediterranean mussel). Lineage: Eukaryota; Metazoa; Mollusca; Bivalvia; Mytilida; Mytilidae. The record is from RNAcentral.